RNAcentral lists this long non-coding RNA (657 nucleotides) under Monodelphis domestica (gray short-tailed opossum). Its description in RNAcentral is "lncRNA (ENSMODG00000032593.2)". Lineage: Eukaryota; Metazoa; Chordata; Mammalia; Didelphimorphia; Didelphidae. The record is from RNAcentral.
CAGGAACCUGGGAGUUUCUGUUUUUGCUCUACUGCCCUGUGAAGAAGGCCUCAGGGUUGAUUGGGGCUGGUUAGACAUUGGCCCCGGAGAGUGUCUCUUUGGAGCCUUCAGAGAGCUGCCUUGGAAGAAUGGCACGCAUGCCUAUUGAAUUUCUCUUUCAGGCUUUUGGGCUCAUUAUGAUUCUGAGGGCAUGUUUUCCUUUGAUUCAGAUCAUAAGUUCCUUGAGAACACUGACUACCUCCCCUGUGCCUCAAGAAGAACCUUGAGCAUGUCUUGCCACGCUCAAAGAAUUUAUCAGCUAUCUGCCAACCUAUUGGAGACGAGUCUCUCCAUAUUUGGUGAGACUGAUGUUCAGCCAUCUGCUGCUGGGACCAAGUCUUCCAGAAUGGGGGCACCUGACCUGGGAAUUGAAGCACAGAGAGACCUUGGACCCAGGAUUGCAGGCAGGAUGGUGCAGUCAGCUAGCUAGCUGGCCCAGUAUGGAAACUGGGAAGCCAAGAUUCUUAGGGCCUGAGGAAGGACUUGGAACUGGGACUGUGCUCCAAAAAAGUGGAGCUAAGCUGUGAAUGUUAUCCUUUUCCCCUCCCCAGAAACUGAGUAAGGAAGAGGAAGAUUUUGACUUGGGGGAAUAAAUUUUUGUGAUACCAUUUUUUAUCA